AAAAAAAAAAAAAAAAAGAAAAAAAAAAAGCCCUUUUCGAGCAUCUUCCCAUCGGGAGGGCUGUCGCUCGCUCGAGGUUUCUGGCCAGCAGCUCCAAGGACUGUCACAACCAUGCUGUGCAUUUGGGAACGUCAUGCAAUGGGGCUUGUGAAUGGAGGACAUCCUGGCCCCACUACGGGUGGGAUAAGAACAACUCUCACCUCAAGGGUGAGUGCUUAAGAGUGGAGGCAAAGCUAGCUGGUGGAGCAAGUGAUGGGGGCAGGCAUCCCUGAGAUGCAAAUCAGCCCACGUGUGCUCAAAAUGACCCAAACCACAACCUUAUGGAGGCUCUUUUGGCUGUAGGGUGCACUGAUGACAGAGGCAGUUCCCACCAUCUGUGGAUUUCCUCAUCCUGGUAGCUCAGUGAGGAGCAGCAGAUCCUAGCUAAAUGCCUUGUGGUCCAGAUGCUAUGAACCGUCCACCCUGGUUCCAGUAAGAGCAGUGCCCCUACAACACCAUGGUAAGCAGCUGCAUGGAGAUUUGAGCCAUCCCAGGGUGG
RNAcentral lists this long non-coding RNA (538 nucleotides) under Phasianus colchicus (ring-necked pheasant). Its description in RNAcentral is "lncRNA (ENSPCLG00000021635.1)". The record is from RNAcentral. Lineage: Eukaryota; Metazoa; Chordata; Aves; Galliformes; Phasianidae.